AAGUCGUAACAAGGUCUCCGUUGGUGGACCAGCGGAGGGAUCAUUACUGAGUACUACACUCUCUACCCUUUGUGAACUAUUAUACCUGUUGCUUCGGCGGCGCCCGCAAGGGUGCCCGCCGGUCUCAUCAGAAUCUCUGUUUUCGAACCCGACGAUACUUCUGAGUGUUCUUAGCGAACUGUCAAAACUUUUAACAACGGAUCUCUUGGCUCCAGCAUCGAUGAAGAACGCAGCGAAACGCGAUAUGUAAUGUGAAUUGCAGAAUUCAGUGAAUCAUCGAAUCUUUGAACGCACAUGGCGCCUUCCAGUAUCCUGGGAGGCAUGCCUGUCCGAGCGUCCGUUUCAACCCUCGAGCCCCUGUGGCCCGGCGUUGGGGAUCUGCCACGGCAGGCCCCUAAAACCAGUGGCGGACCCGAAGGGCCCUCUCCUUUGCGCAGUAGCAUUCGCCUCGCAUCGGGAGUCCUCGGCGUCCUGCCUCUAAACCCCCCCACAAGCCCGCUUCGGCGGCACCAAGGUUGACCUCGGAUCAGGUAGGAAUACCCGCUGAACUUAA
RNAcentral lists this ribosomal RNA (553 nucleotides) under uncultured fungus. RNAcentral's name for it is "eukaryotic LSU rRNA". The stretch from base 186 to 339 matches the Rfam family "5.8S ribosomal RNA". The record is from RNAcentral. Lineage: Eukaryota; Fungi.